RNAcentral lists this ribosomal RNA (157 nucleotides) under uncultured type I methanotroph. RNAcentral describes it as "partial 16S ribosomal RNA". It matches the Rfam family "Bacterial small subunit ribosomal RNA", at positions 360 to 507 of the family's 1533-position model. Lineage: Bacteria; Pseudomonadati; Pseudomonadota; Gammaproteobacteria; Methylococcales; Methylococcaceae. The record is from RNAcentral.
AAUAUUGGACAAUGGGCGCAAGCCUGAUCCAGCAAUACCGCGUGUGUGAAGAAGGCCUUAGGGUUGUAAAGCACUUUCAAUUGGGAGGAAAACCUGCCGGCUCAAUACCCGGUAGCUUGACAUUACCUAUUAGAAGAAGCACCGCGCUAAAUCCGCU